This 301-nucleotide ribosomal RNA is filed under the name uncultured bacterium. RNAcentral's name for it is "partial 16S ribosomal RNA". It matches the Rfam family "Bacterial small subunit ribosomal RNA", at positions 509 to 807 of the family's 1533-position model. The record is from RNAcentral.
CAGUAGCCGCGGUAAUACGAAGGGUGCAAGCGUUGUCCGGAAUUAUUGGGCGUAAAGGGCUCACAGGCGGUUUCUUAAGUCAGAUGUGAAAGCCCCCGGCUCAACCGGGGAGGGUCAUUGGAAACUGGGAAACUUGAGUGCAGAAGAGGAGAGUGGAAUUCCACGUGUAGCGGUGAAAUGCGUAGAGAUGUGGAGGAACACCAGUGACGAAGGCGACUCUCUGGUCUGUAACUGACGCUGAGGAGCGAAAGCGUGGGGAGCGAACAGGAUUAGAGACCCGCGUAGUCCCUGUCUCUUAUAC